RNAcentral lists this ribosomal RNA (211 nucleotides) under uncultured bacterium. Its description in RNAcentral is "partial 16S ribosomal RNA". It matches the Rfam family "Bacterial small subunit ribosomal RNA", at positions 1282 to 1500 of the family's 1533-position model. The record is from RNAcentral.
CCUGUCUCAGUUCGGAUUGGAGUCUGNAACCCGACUCCAUGAAGCUGGAUUCGCUAGUAAUCGCGCAUCAGCCACGGCGCGGUGAAUACGUUCCCGGGCCUUGUACACACCGCCCGUCAAGCCAUGGGAGCCGGGGGUACCUGAAGUGCGUGACCGCAAGGAGCGCCCUAAGGUAAAACCGGUGACUGGGGCUAAGUCGUAACAAGGUACC